ACCACUUGGGCAGAUUUCCCACAUUCCAGCAUAAUUUCAUACAGAAUUUACACGAUCCUGUAUUACCAAGCACGACACAGUGCCCGUAUUUAAAGCUCACAUGUCAGUAAUUUUUAAAUUACUAAAUCUCUUUUUCUUGAUACAAAACCGUUUAAUUUAGCGACAUUUCUAAAGCUUUGUGUCAAAGAAUGAAAUUCACCUGGGUAUUUCUUGUUGUAUUGUUUGUUGCGUUUGCCGGCGUAAUGUCCGGUGUGGAUGCUCAGCGGGGCCGUGGCGGCAGAGGCGGCGGCGGGGGCCGUGGUGGUCGGGGUGGUCGGGGUGGUCGUGGAGGUCGCGGCGGUGGAAAACGCGACAUCGAAAGCCAGUUACCAGAUGCAUUCCGAGACCAAUUCCUAAGCUUGAACUGAAUGGCGCACUUGCCCUUCGAUUAUGUAAUCUGCUCAGGCGCAAAUAAAUAUUCAUAAAUUAGCUAUUUCGGCAGGUGCUGAAUUGUGCUACCAUGUUUCCUUUUAUUAUUCGCCAAAUCGGAUUUUUUUUAUUUGCAUGCUAGUUGCACGGUAUGCCGGCACGUUCCGAUCCAGUUUAGUAUAUUACUAUACAGCAUGUAGUAUUUAAUAAAGUGAAAAUUACUUAGUACUGCUUACGCAGCUAAGGUCAAGAUUGUAAAUAAAUCUUUCAAUUAUCG
Paramacrobiotus metropolitanus is the source of this 685-nucleotide long non-coding RNA. RefSeq lists it as uncharacterized. NCBI's taxonomy places the organism in Eukaryota, Metazoa, Tardigrada, Eutardigrada, Parachela, Macrobiotidae. The record is from RefSeq and is a predicted model, not a curated record. The transcript has 2 exons.